UUUGUGGCACACAUGUAAAUU
This 21-nucleotide non-coding RNA is filed under the name Caenorhabditis elegans. The record is from RNAcentral. Lineage: Eukaryota; Metazoa; Nematoda; Chromadorea; Rhabditida; Rhabditidae.